Molecule: ribosomal RNA, 497 nt
Filed under: uncultured bacterium
Lineage: Bacteria
Description: SSU rRNA
Rfam family: Bacterial small subunit ribosomal RNA
Source: RNAcentral
AGAUUGAACGCUGGCGGCGUGCUUAACACAUGCAAGUCGAGCGGUAACGCGGGAGCAAUCCUGGCGACGAGCGGCGAACGGGUGAGUAAUGCUUGGGAAUCUGCCCAUUAGUGGGGAACAACCAGCCGAAAGGUUGGCUAAUACCGCAUACGCCCUACGGGGGAAAGCGGGGGAUCGAAAGACCUCGCGCUAAUGGAUGAGCCCAAGUCGGAUUAGCUUGUUGGUAGGGUAACGGCCUACCAAGGCGACAAUCCGUAGCUGGUCUGAGAGGACGACCAGCCACACUGGGACUGAGACACGGCCCAGACUCCUACGGAGGCAGCAGUGGGGAAUAUUGGACAAUGGGGGCAACCCUGAUCCAGCGACGCCGCGUGUGUGAAGAAGGCCUGCGGGUUGUAAAGCACUUUUAGUGGGGAUGAAAAGCUCAGGGUUAACACCUCUGGGUCUUGACCUAACCACAGAAAAGCACCGGCUAACUCUGUGCCAGCAGCCGCGGU